GAUUAAAAAGAAUGAAUUGGACGGAUGCCCGAGCAUUAACAAGGAAGGACGCUUUUACAGGCGAAAGGACAUGGGGAGAUACCGUCUAUGAUCGAUGGAUCUCCGACCAUGAAACUGUAUCCAAGCUCCUUGGCUAGUCACGCUCUCUGGAUUUUUCAAACUUAGCGAACUGAAAUAUCUUAUUAACAAAAGGAAAGGAAAUCAAUUGAGACACCUUUAGUAGCAGCGAGAGAGAGUGGAUUGGGGGUUUGAAGAAAAAUAAACACGAAGCUUCGUUCCUCAGCAAAGUGUCCACUUCUUUUUCGCUAGGUUUCAUUUGAUUUAUUAUGGAUUGGAUGAUGGAAAAACCAAAAAGCUACGGAUUCAAAGCUUACCUUAUUUAGAAAAAGAGAAAGGGCUUUAUUUUAAUAGAUGUUGAGGUUGAGUGAGGGGGUGGAGCUUGAAUAGCGAAGGAGCAGCGCUAGCCUAGCAAUGUUUUUUAGCAAGAAGCGGAGGUUUAACGACCCCUUAACCUAGGUUGGGGAAAAAACUCCAAAAUCCAAAACACUGGUAAGAUUUCCAAACCUUUCUAUAAUAAUAAGGUAAGAUUUCAAGCCGCUGCCCUUUAAAAGAGCGGGUGAAGUGAACUAUAAUUAUGAAAAGAUUAGAAGAUCUGGCCAAAAAAGUUGAUAGCCCUGUAGAUUCGUUCCCAUGGUUCGAUCCUUCCCAGUAAAAUGCGGCGUGUUCGAAUUAUGGUCUCUCUUAUGCGAGAAAGAGGGACCACCAUCUAAGCCUAAGUGUUCCACAAUGACCGAUAGCAUACAAGUACCGUGAGGGAAAGGUGAAAAGGACCCUAUUUAGGGAGUGCAAUAGAGAACUUGAGAUUCGUUCCGAAAAAUCAACCGAAGGAGCAGAGCUUAGAGCCUUUACUUUAUGUAAUGUGUAGUCACUCUAACGGCAUACCUUUUGUAUGAUGGGUCUGUGAGGAAAUGGGAACAAUGGCUUAAGCCAUUAGGUGUAGGUGCUUUCCAGAGGUGGAAUCUUCUGGUUCUUCCUAUUUGACACGAAACCGAUCGAUCUAGGCUUGAGUAGGUUGAAGAGAGCUCUGACAAGCCUUGGAGGACCGAACCCACGUAUGUGAAAAAAUAUAGGGAUGACUUGUGGCUAGUGGUGAAAAGCCAACCAAGAUCGGAUAUAGCUAGUUUUUUGCGAAAUCUAUUUCUGUAGAGCGUAUGAUGUCGAUGGCCCAAGGUAGAGCACUCAAUGGGGUAGGGUGGCCUCAUUUCACCUUACUAACCCUAGGGAAACUCUGAAUACUGGCCUGUAUCGUUUGUAUAGACAGACUUUUUUGGUUCUAAGGUCCAAAGUCGAGAGAGAAACACCCCAGAUCGUAUGCUUACGUCCCUAAGCAAUCACUUAGUGGAAAAGGAAAUUCAUUGAGCAAUGACAACCUGGAGGUUGUCUUGGAAGCAGACAUCCUUUGAAGAAAGCAUAAUAGCUCACUGGUCUAAGUCCAUGGCACCAAAAAUGUAUCAGGGCUCAAGUGAUUCACCGAAGGGACGAGACCUUAAAAGCUGCUUUUUCAAGUGUUAGUAGAGGAACGUUUUGUCAAUCCGGGAAGGUUUCUAGUGACAAGACAUUGAGAUAUCAGAAGUGAGAAUGCUAACAUGAGUAACAAAAAAUCUACAAAAAAAUACGAUCGCCUGCCAGUGGAAGGUUUUCUGCAUUCAGUCAAUAAACGCAGAGUGAAUCGGUCCCUAAGAGACCCCCGAAAGGGCUGCCAUCUGACGGGUACAUGAAAGUGACGAAGUUGCUUUGACUAUAGAAUCAUGCCAGUCUGUUGGAGCGAAUUGGAUGUGAGCUGAGGGCUACCCCCUCUUCCUCUCACUCUCAUUUCCCUAAUAUGAACCUUGAGUCAUCAAUUCCUUUCUUACUCUACCUAGCCCGGUCGCCCUACGCGACUGGCACUUCAAAAGGCUCAACUCUCGAUCGUAGUUUGGCAACCUAUCUUUAGUAAGGGCCUUUAGUCUUUUGAUUAGAGUAGGGGUCGUGAGAGAGCAAGUGUACCAUCCUGCCAUCGUCACAAAUUUGUUUAUAGUUACGACUGUUGUCAUAGUCAACAAGGUUGAGACUUUCAGGAAAAAAACUUUGAAUUGGAAGAGCAAUCCUCCCGGUAAACUGACUGUACCCCAAACCGACACAGGUGAACAAGUAGAGUAUACUAGGGCGCUUGAGAGAACCAUGUUGAAGGAACUCAGCAAAAUGACCUCGUAACUUAGGGAGAAGGGGUGCUCUCCUAUCUUUUGAUUAGGAAAGCGGCACAUACUAGGGGCAAUGACUGUUUAUUAAAAACACAUGACUUUGCUAAGUGGUAACACAAUGUAUAGAGUCUGGUACCUUCCCAGUGUUGGAAGGUCGAAAGGCCAAGUGUUAUAUUCUUUGAAUGGAAGCCCUAGUAAAUGGCAGCAGUAACUCUAACUAUCCCAAGGUAGCGAAAUUCCUUGUCACAUAAGUAGCGACCGACACAAAUGGUGUAACGACUACCCCGCUUUCUUCGACAUGGACUCGAUUGUUCCCAAAUUUAGUUAA
Molecule: ribosomal RNA, 2568 nt
Filed under: Nicotiana sylvestris (wood tobacco)
Lineage: Eukaryota; Viridiplantae; Streptophyta; Magnoliopsida; Solanales; Solanaceae
Description: Bacterial large subunit ribosomal RNA
Rfam family: Bacterial large subunit ribosomal RNA
Source: Rfam by way of RNAcentral